RNAcentral lists this ribosomal RNA (1675 nucleotides) under Klebsiella pneumoniae. RNAcentral's name for it is "partial 23S ribosomal RNA". It matches the Rfam family "Bacterial large subunit ribosomal RNA", at positions 1271 to 2925 of the family's 2925-position model. Lineage: Bacteria; Pseudomonadati; Pseudomonadota; Gammaproteobacteria; Enterobacterales; Enterobacteriaceae. The record is from RNAcentral.
UGCUGGAGGUAUCAGAAGUGCGAAUGCUGACAUAAGUAACGAUAAAGCGGGUGAAAAGCCCGCUCGCCGGAAGACCAAGGGUUCCUGUCCAACGUUAAUCGGGGCAGGGUGAGUCGACCCCUAAGGCGAGGCCGAAAGGCGUAGUCGAUGGGAAACAGGUUAAUAUUCCUGUACUUGGUGUUACUGCGAAGGGGGGACGGAGAAGGCUAUGUUAGCCGGGCGACGGUUGUCCCGGUUUAAGCAUGUAGGCUGGUUAUCCAGGCAAAUCCGGAUAAUCAAGGCUGAGGUGUGAUGACGAGGCACUACGGUGCUGAAGUAACAAAUGCCCUGCUUCCAGGAAAAGCCUCUAAGCAUCAGGUAACAUCAAAUCGUACCCCAAACCGACACAGGUGGUCAGGUAGAGAAUACCAAGGCGCUUGAGAGAACUCGGGUGAAGGAACUAGGCAAAAUGGUGCCGUAACUUCGGGAGAAGGCACGCUGGUGUGUAGGUGAAGCCCCUGCGGGUGGAGCUGAGACCAGUCGAAGAUACCAGCUGGCUGCAACUGUUUAUUAAAAACACAGCACUGUGCAAACACGAAAGUGGACGUAUACGGUGUGACGCCUGCCCGGUGCCGGAAGGUUAAUUGAUGGGGUUAUCCGUAAGGAGAAGCUCUUGAUCGAAGCCCCGGUAAACGGCGGCCGUAACUAUAACGGUCCUAAGGUAGCGAAAUUCCUUGUCGGGUAAGUUCCGACCUGCACGAAUGGCGUAAUGAUGGCCAGGCUGUCUCCACCCGAGACUCAGUGAAAUUGAACUCGCUGUGAAGAUGCAGUGUACCCGCGGCAAGACGGAAAGACCCCGUGAACCUUUACUAUAGCUUGACACUGAACAUUGAGCCUUGAUGUGUAGGAUAGGUGGGAGGCUUUGAAGCGUGGACGCCAGUCUGCGUGGAGCCAACCUUGAAAUACCACCCUUUAAUGUUUGAUGUUCUAACGUUGGCCCCUUACCGGGGUUGCGGACAGUGUCUGGUGGGUAGUUUGACUGGGGCGGUCUCCUCCCAAAGCGUAACGGAGGAGCACGAAGGUUAGCUAAUCCUGGUCGGACAUCAGGAGGUUAGUGCAAUGGCAUAAGCUAGCUUGACUGCGAGCGUGACGGCGCGAGCAGGUGCGAAAGCAGGUCAUAGUGAUCCGGUGGUUCUGAAUGGAAGGGCCAUCGCUCAACGGAUAAAAGGUACUCCGGGGAUAACAGGCUGAUACCGCCCAAGAGUUCAUAUCGACGGCGGUGUUUGGCACCUCGAUGUCGGCUCAUCACAUCCUGGGGCUGAAGUAGGUCCCAAGGGUAUGGCUGUUCGCCAUUUAAAGUGGUACGCGAGCUGGGUUUAGAACGUCGUGAGACAGUUCGGUCCCUAUCUGCCGUGGGCGCUGGAGAAUUGAGGGGGGCUGCUCCUAGUACGAGAGGACCGGAGUGGACGCAUCACUGGUGUUCGGGUUGUCAUGCCAAUGGCACUGCCCGGUAGCUAAAUGCGGAAGAGAUAAGUGCUGAAAGCAUCUAAGCACGAAACUUGCCCCGAGAUGAGUUCUCCCUGAGACUUUAAGUCUCCUGAAGGAACGUUAAAGACGAUGACGUUGAUAGGCCGGGUGUGUAAGCGCAGCGAUGCGUUGAGCUAACCGGUACUAAUGAACCGUGAGGCUUAACCUU